GGGGAAUUUGGUCAUAUUUUGGUUUGUUCACUUGUUUAAAAAAAACGAACUUUGUCAGAACUCUACUGAAAGUGAAUUAACCAAAGUGGCCAAGUGUGUAAAACAAAAACAGCUAAUAGCGCGAAAAUUUUCAAAAAACUAAUGGAGGUACCUGAUGUCGCUAAACACGCUGUGAUGGUUAGUUUUUGUGCAAACGGUUCCGUCAAUAAAAAAGUAGAAAAUCUCGAAAACUGGAGGAGCUAGAGAGGAAAUGAAUGCAGAAAAUCGAUAGUCCAUGGAAAUUGUCAAGAAAUUAAAGAGCUCAUCUCAAAGCGGUACCGUACGCUAGAAUAUUCGGUUCUUAUACAAAUGCCUUUCUUUCACUACAUGAACAUUCAUUUUGUUUCUGGAUCUCAGCGAAACAGCCAGGCUUCAACACAAGUCAUUAUCUUGGUUAAAAAAAUAACGAUCUGCAACCAAAAAGUUUAAAUGAUGAAGCAGUUCUUGUUUGGAGUUGACGAUUCACUUUGCAACCCUCCUUGCUGCAACUCGUGCCUAGUUCAUUAUUCAGUUAUAUUUAAUCUUGACUUACAAAUGGUGAUUGUCAACAUGGAGAACCAUCAUUUCAACUUCCGUGAAGGCAGGAUUGGUUCUAUGUACUAUAAAAAAGGAAGUGGUGCCAAUAGAAAAAUUAAAUGUAUCUCUUAAAAUAACUAAAAUAAUACAAUUCCAAAUUAUUUCACAUAUUUUUAUUUUUAACUUGAAGCUGAUGGAAAUAUAUACAAAAGUAUACUUAUCUAAAUGGCAGUUAUGAUGAAUAACAUAAUAGGCACAUCAAAAACUAAAUGAACAUUGUAAAUAAACAUAUCAAGCACGUUACAGUUUCACAUUACAGAAACUGCAUCUUGGGAAAUUUCAUAUUUAACAGAAACGGAAUCCCGAAUUUUAAAUUUUAAGCAUAAAGAAGUGUUUUGAAAACUUUACGAUUUAUGUUGUUUUAAAUGAAUCUGUAUCCCCGUGAGAAUUAACUAGAAUUAUAGUUUUAAAAGGUAGGAUAGAAAGAAUCGUAUUUGGAUAUGAAGUUUUUCAGUUAAAAGAUUGUAUCCUCUACUUCAAUACAAAUAUCUGAUUUUUGAUUCAAGAAUACUCAACAAACUUUUUAAUUUUGAAAGCCAGUGUCGGAAAAACAAAUUAAAAUAUUUAAUUUUUUUGCUUAA
Anoplophora glabripennis (Asian longhorned beetle) is the source of this 1196-nucleotide long non-coding RNA. RefSeq lists it as uncharacterized. The record is from RefSeq and is a predicted model, not a curated record. Lineage: Eukaryota; Metazoa; Arthropoda; Insecta; Coleoptera; Cerambycidae. The transcript has 2 exons.